CUUGGUCAUUUAGAGGAAGUAAAAGUCGUAACAAGGUUUCCGUAGGUGAACCUGCGGAAGGAUCAUUACAAGUGAGGCUACCGAACGUUGGAAACAGCGGUUAGGAGCUUACACCCACCCGUGUUUACAUACUAUUGUUGCUUUGGCGGGCCGUGGCCUCCACUGCGGGCUCUGCUCGUGUGUGCCCGCCAGAGAACCAAACUCUGAAUGUUAGUGAUGUCUGAGUACUAUCUAAUAGUUAAAACUUUCAACAACGGAUCUCUUGGUUCUGGCAUCGAUGAAGAACGCAGCGAAAUGCGAUAAGUAAUGUGAAUUGCAGAAUUCAGUGAAUCAUCGAAUCUUUGAACGCACAUUGCGCCCUGUGGUAUUCCGCAGGGUAUGCCUGUUCGAGCGUCAUUUAACCACUCACGCCUAGCUGGGUAUUGGGGGCACGCGGUCUCCGCGGCCCUCAAAAUCAGUGGCGGCGCCGGUGGGCUCUAAGCGUAGUACAUACUCCCGCUAUAGAGUUCCCCCCGGUGGCUCGCCAGAACCCCCAAUUUUUUACAGGUUGACCUCGGAUCAGGUAGGGAUACCCGCUGAACUUAAGCAUAUCAAUAAGCGGAGGA
Molecule: ribosomal RNA, 605 nt
Filed under: uncultured Phialocephala
Lineage: Eukaryota; Fungi; Ascomycota; Leotiomycetes; Helotiales
Description: eukaryotic LSU rRNA
Rfam family: 5.8S ribosomal RNA (bases 243-396)
Source: RNAcentral